Molecule: ribosomal RNA, 532 nt
Filed under: uncultured bacterium
Lineage: Bacteria
Description: bacterial SSU rRNA
Rfam family: Bacterial small subunit ribosomal RNA
Source: RNAcentral
GAGCUAAUACCCGGAUACCCCCACCCGAGCCGCGAUGGGUUUUGGUGAGGAAAUGGAUUCCGCUUCGGGAGGGCCGUCGCGGCCUAUCAGCUAGUUGUGGGGUAACGGCCCACCAAGGCAUCGACGGGUAGCUGGUCUGAGAGGACGAUCAGCCACACUGGGACUGAGACACGGCCCAGACUCCUACGGGAGGCAGCAGUGGGGAAUCUUGCGCAAUGGGCGAAAGCCUGACGCAGCAACGCCGCGUGGGGGAUGAAGGCUCUCGGGUUGUAAACCCCUUUCAGCAGGGACGAAUCAAGACGGUACCUGCAGAAGAAGCCCCGGCUAACUACGUGCCAGCAGCCGCGGUAACACGUAGGGGGCAAGCGUUGUCCGGAUUUAUUGGGCGUAAAGAGCUCGUAGGUGGCUGAGUAAGUCGGAUGUUAAAUCCCCAGGCUCAACCUGGGACACCACCCGAUACUGCUCUGGCUAGAGUCCGGUAGGGGGAGCGUGGAAUUCCUGGUGUAGCGGUGAAAUGCGCAGAUAUCAGGAG